AUACGGAGGGUGCAAGUGUUACUCGGAAUCACUGGGCGUAAAGCGCGCGCAGGCGGUCUUUUAAGUUGGAUGUGAAAGCCUACGGCUCAACCGUAGAACUGCAUCCAAAACUAUUAGACUAGAGUGUGGGAGAGGAAGAUGGAAUUAGUUGUGUAGGGGUAAAAUCCGUAGAGAUAACUAGGAAUACCAAAAGCGAAGGCAAUCUUCUGGAACACUACUGACGCUGAGGCGCGAAAGCGUGGGGAGCAAACAGGAUUAGAUACCCUAGUAGUCC
This 274-nucleotide ribosomal RNA is filed under the name uncultured bacterium. RNAcentral's name for it is "partial 16S ribosomal RNA". It matches the Rfam family "Bacterial small subunit ribosomal RNA", at positions 523 to 796 of the family's 1533-position model. The record is from RNAcentral.